RNAcentral lists this ribosomal RNA (383 nucleotides) under uncultured eukaryote. RNAcentral describes it as "partial 18S ribosomal RNA". It matches the Rfam family "Eukaryotic small subunit ribosomal RNA", at positions 592 to 976 of the family's 1831-position model. The record is from RNAcentral.
CAAUAGCGUAUAUUAAAGUUGUUGCGGUUAAAGAGCUCGUAGUUGGAUCUCGGCAGGCAGGGGGUGGUUCGCUCUUAGCGCUACUGCCCCAUUUGCCUGUGUGAUUGGCGGAGGUUUCGGGGUGCUCUUCGUUGAGUGACCCGGGGCGCCGUCAGGUUUACUUUGAAAAAAUUAGAGUGCUCAAAGCAGGCUUUUCACGCUUGAAUAUUCGUGCAUGGAAUAAUGGAAUAGGAACUCGUUUCUAUUUUGUUGGUUUUCGGAAAUCGAGUUAAUGAUUAAUAGGGACAAUUGGGGGCAUUAGUAUUCAGACGACAGAGGUGAAAUUCUUGGACCGUCUGAAGACUAACUACUGCGAAAGCAUUUGCCAAGAGUGUUUUCAUUAA